This 1193-nucleotide long non-coding RNA is filed under the name Monodelphis domestica (gray short-tailed opossum). Its description in RNAcentral is "lncRNA (ENSMODG00000050469.1)". Lineage: Eukaryota; Metazoa; Chordata; Mammalia; Didelphimorphia; Didelphidae. The record is from RNAcentral.
UAAAUAAAUAUAAAAAAGAUAAUACAUAAAUAAUGAAAAUAGAAUAUACAAAUAUAAUAGUGAAUUUAUAUAUUAUCAUCUAUUAUAUAUAAAACAUAAUGAAUAAGUAUUAAAAUAAAUAAAAAAUAAAAUGAUCAGAACCCGCCCUUGGGUCUCAUCCAGCCCCAGUGCAAUGAGCCCAGGAUUCUAGAAUCACAAUGCUUCCAGCUGUCUCUCUGUCCAGCUUUUCUAUCACAGUCCAGAGCACCAGCACAGAGAUGCUGGUAACAUCCCAGCUGAAAGGCACCCAGCUGUACAAGGGAUGAGAAAGUGACUAUGAGCUGCCCAUCCUGGGAGGUUCCUCCCUUGAAUAAAGACCCUUCUCUUGGGGCUGGGUGCCGUAGAGGAGGAGAAGGAGGAGGAGGAGGAGGAGGAGUGCUUCCAAGCUGGCCUGUGCUGGGGAGUGCAUUGUCUCUCAGCUCCACCCCAGAAAGAAACAAAGUUCAAAGUCUCUCGGAUUCUCCUGGCCAGCUCAACUCUCCAACAAUCCAAGAGCCAAGUUUCUUUUUCUUAUCAGCUUCAACUACCCAGAGUCAGAGAGACAGAGACCAAGUCCAAAAGCCAAGUUUCUCUUCUCAGUGUGGCACACAAACUCCCAACUGCCACUCCUAGGAACAUUCCGUUGGAAUCUUCUCUCGAUUGACAGCUUGAGCUAGGUCUCCAGUCUUGCAUCCUCCUUUACAAGCCCUCUCUCUCCCCAGCCUCUACUACAGCUGUUCCUGUCCAGAUGAAAUGGGGCCAAGACUUAAACUCGGAUUUUUACACAACCAUCUUCACAUUCUCUAGAAGUUGCUUUUCUAUGUAAAUGAGAAAAUUAAAAUGAUUGAAUUUUUCAAAAGAAGUCAAAGAGGCAAAAAUCCAAAGGAAUCAUCUUCUCUGGCCCAGAAGCAGGGAGAGGAAGCAGAAGGCGAGGACAUAGUGGAGGCUUUCAUUGCUCACAAGGGCAAUGAAGGAGCAUCGGGGAGGGCACCAGGACAAGCCAGGGUGCUGGUAGACUGCGUGGAGACUCUCAUUCUGCUCUACUAAAAGCCUUAACAGCCUUUCCUGGGAUGUUGAUGUCGGGAUUGUCCCCUCCUGAUCCCUUGACUUGUGCCUUUGGAGGGACUGGGUGUUAGGGAGAGGGAGGAACACAAGGGUACCAAAGUGGUUCUUCU